Oreochromis niloticus (Nile tilapia) is the source of this 1649-nucleotide long non-coding RNA. RefSeq lists it as uncharacterized. The record is from RefSeq and is a predicted model, not a curated record. The transcript is spliced from 2 exons. Lineage: Eukaryota; Metazoa; Chordata; Actinopteri; Cichliformes; Cichlidae.
CGGGUCACCUUGGCUUCAUGUUAAGUGUUUGCUGUGUAAAGAAACACUGCUGGUGCAGGUUUGCAUUUAGUAACUUUGUCUGGAUUUUUAUUUUUAAUCACUUAGGUUUAGAUUUUUGUUCAGGUUGGUAGAAAUUAAGGAAAUCUUUAAGGGUGAUUUGACUUUAUCUUUAAUGCCAUGCCCUGUUUGUGGUCACGGGUUAACUUUUGUGUGUUUCAUGACUAAAGAUUAUCAUUUCCAGAUGCAGAUAAAGCUUUGACCACACAGGCUGUCCUUGCAGCACUUCCUUUACUUAACUGUUUUGUCCACUGAAAAUCAGUUGCCAAGGCAAGUGGUUGGUUGUGUUUGUCUUUUUUUUGUUAGAGUGAUUUCCAUUUCCCACAGCGUGGCAGUCUGACCUCUGAACCCACACAGGAGGGGCUGGUGGAAUGCCACACCACAUGAGGCCUUGUGAAUUCUUGGAGAGAGUGAUCCGUGUUUUAUGUCCAGCUUAAGUGCUGUCAAACAGGCCGGAGCACACUCAAACACAGCUCACACACCAGCCUUUAUCUCUUUUACCUCGGGCAGCAGUAGUACUGUGGCCCCUCCCCUCCCUCACAGCCGCGGGACUUCCACAUGACUGCUCUUAUAUGCUGAGCGCUGUUGUAUUUGCACUGAAACACAUUCUUCAUUUCUGGGAAGCUACAUUCACCUCAGGCAGACUUUUUGUAAACUUGUUUGGAUGUGUGAAGUUGUUGGAAUUAUUUUAGGAAUAUUGUCUCCCUUUCAGUUAAUUUCCUUAUAUGUGUACUUUACAGCUUCUCUACUUAUCCAAGGAGCAAUUUGUUGAUGGUAUUUUUGCAUUGCUUCCAAACCCCAUCUCACCCAAACUGUAUGAGCCACAAGGUGUUUUAUGUGGAGGGGUUUGGACAUUAAAGUCACAUGACUGCAGAACGCUUUGCUCCUCUUUGUUGAACUGUACGUGCCAAAGCCUGAUAGAUUGUCCCUUCGUUUGCUUGGCCUCUGUUCCUGGAUCUGCUGCCAUUAUUCCACUCUGGAUAAGGUGGAUCCUCAUGCUCAGGCAAUGAAAUUGACACCCUGAGAACAUCAAAUUGUACCUGCCACACAUGUGUCACUACAGAGCAACAUCUGGAUUCAGCAUUUGACAGCCACUGCUGAAGGUGCACAUAGUUGCAAGUGCUGAAUGUUUUAGCUUUUUUGUCAUUCUUAUUAGUGUUAAUUGUACAAUAAAUAAUACAUUAUUGUAUUAUUUGGUUCAGUCUGUUACUCUUAUUGUUUUGGAUCAACUGUAACCCACAUAAUUUCCUUAGCUAUUAAAGUAUUCUGAUUUUAGAGGAGCACAACCUGUUUAACAUGGAAGAUUUUUGUUCUUCAUAACUGUCUUAACACGAUCAGUCUCUCUGUGCACUGACUGACCUGCCAGCUGACAGAUAUUUGCACUGUUUGUGCACAGACACUUGAGCUGCAGACAGUUUAUGGAGUUUGCUUCUCUCACCCACUUCAGCCCAGAUAUAAACACUUGUCAGUGGAAACAGUUUGGAACUUGUCAGGCUGAUUUGGAGAUGGAAAACAAAAGCCAUCAAUGGCAAAUAAAGGAUAAAAUGGCCAAUGAUCAUCUUGGAAAUGUUUUAAGAAAUCUGCCUUGAGAU